AUUGAACGCUGGCGGCAUGCUUUACACAUGCAAGUCGAACGAGUGGCGCACGGGUGAGUAAUACAUCGGAACGUGUCCUAUCGUGGGGGAUAACUGAUCGAAAGAUCAGCUAAUACCGCAUACGAUUGGAGCGGCCGAUGCCCGAUUAGCUAGUUGGUGAGGUAAAGGCUCACCAAGGCGACGAUCGGUAGCUGGUCUGAGAGGACGACCAGCGACACUGGGACUGAGACACGGCCCAGAGUCCUACGGGAGGCAGCAGUGGGGAAUUUUGGACAAGGGGCGCAAGGCUGAUGCAGCCAUGCCGCGUGUAUGAAGAAGGCGUUCGGGUUGGAAAGUACUUUCAGCGAGGAGGCGUUACUCGCAGAAGAAGCACCGGCUAACUCCGUGCCAGCAGCCGCGGUAAUUC
Molecule: ribosomal RNA, 406 nt
Filed under: uncultured bacterium
Lineage: Bacteria
Description: partial 16S ribosomal RNA
Rfam family: Bacterial small subunit ribosomal RNA
Source: RNAcentral